ACGGGAGGCAGCAGUGGGGGAUAUUGCACAAUGGGGGAAACCCUGAUGCAGCGACGCCGCGUGGAGGAAGAAGGUUUUCGGAUUGUAAACUCCUGUCGUUAGGGACGAUAAUGACGGUACCUAACAAGAAAGCACCGGCUAACUACGUGCCAGCAGCCGCGGUAAAACGUAGGGUGCAAGCGUUGUCCGGAAUUACUGGGUGUAAAGGGAGCGCAGGCGGACCGGCAAGUUGGAAGUGAAAACUAUGGGCUUAACCCAUAAAUUGCUUUCAAAACUGCUGGCCUUGAGUAGUGCAGAGGUAGGUGGAAUUCCCGGUGUAGCGGUGGAAUGCGUAGAUAUCGGGAGGAACACCAGUGGCGAAGGCGACCUACUGGGCACCAACUGACGCUGAGGCUCGAAAGCAUGGGUAGCAAACAGGAUUAGAUACCCUGGUAGUCCAUGCCGUAAACGAUGAUUAUUAGGUGUUGGAGGAUUGACCCCUUCAGUGCC
RNAcentral lists this ribosomal RNA (489 nucleotides) under uncultured bacterium. RNAcentral describes it as "bacterial SSU rRNA". It matches the Rfam family "Bacterial small subunit ribosomal RNA", at positions 341 to 847 of the family's 1533-position model. The record is from RNAcentral.